This 445-nucleotide ribosomal RNA is filed under the name uncultured bacterium. RNAcentral describes it as "partial 16S ribosomal RNA". It matches the Rfam family "Bacterial small subunit ribosomal RNA", at positions 354 to 796 of the family's 1533-position model. The record is from RNAcentral.
GUGAGGAAUAUUGGACAAUGGGCGCAAGCCUGAUCCAGCCAUGCCGCGUGCAGGAAGACGCAUCUAUGGUGUGUAAACUGCUUUUGUACGGGAAGAAACACUCCCUCGUGAGGGAGCUUGACGGUACCGUAAGAAUAAGGAUCGGCUAACUCCGUGCCAGCAGCCGCGGUAAUACGGAGGAUCCAAGCGUUAUCCGGAAUCAUUGGGUUUAAAGGGUCCGUAGGCGGUUUAAUAAGUCAGGGGUGAAAGCCCAUCGCUCAACGAUGGAACGGCCAUUGAUACUGUUAGACUUGAAUUACAAGGAAGUAACUAGAAUAUGUAGUGUAGCGGUGAAAUGCUUAGAUAUUACAUGGAAUACCAAUUGCGAAGGCAGGUUACUACUUGUGGAUUGACGCUGAUGGACGAAAGCGUGGGGAGCGAACAGGAUUAGAAACCCCAGUAGUCC